CAACUUUCAACAACGGAUCUCUUGGCUCUCGCAUCGAUGAAGAACGCAGCGAAAUGCGAUAAGUAAUGUGAAUUGCAGAUUUUCAGUGAAUCAUCGAAUCUUUGAACGCACCUUGCGCCCCUUGGUAUUCCGAGGGGCAUGCCUGUUUGAGUGUCAUUG
Molecule: ribosomal RNA, 159 nt
Filed under: uncultured Tylospora
Lineage: Eukaryota; Fungi; Basidiomycota; Agaricomycetes; Atheliales; Atheliaceae
Description: 5.8S ribosomal RNA
Rfam family: 5.8S ribosomal RNA
About the family: 5.8S ribosomal RNA (5.8S rRNA) is a component of the large subunit of the eukaryotic ribosome. It is transcribed by RNA polymerase I as part of the 45S precursor that also contains 18S and 28S rRNA. Functionally, it is thought that 5.8S rRNA may be involved in ribosome translocation.
Source: RNAcentral